GGUCUGAAAGACCUAAAAUUGGUAUGAUUCGCAUUUGCUAUCUUGAAUAUGUAACUCCAUCAGAUUUUCCGUAGGUCUUCAAAGUUGGAGCUCAAAGUUUGCUUUUGUUUUUCUUUUUUCUCUGGCCCUUCUCUAUCUUGCAAAUUCCCUUUGAUUUACCCACUGCCCUCCCCAAUCUGCAACAGUGACAGUUUGCUGCCUCAAAACAGAGCAUUCAAAUGAAUUCGCUUAGCCAAUAACUUCUGUGAAGUUGCCUUUUCUAAUGGUGUUAUUACUCAGUGAUGCACAAAUGUGGUAUUUGCCCUACUGGUAGGCAAAACAAAGGUCUGGUUAGGAAUGGUAACCUGCUGUUUUCUUUAAAGGAGAGCCAAAGACUUGUGCUUUACUCUGUUUUGGUUUGGGAGGAAAUAGCCAUUUUGAUUGUGAAACCUUUUAGUAUUCAUGAGUUGAUUAUAUUGUGUAGGGAGAUAGGUCUAAAGUUGACUCUGAAAGUUAGCUGGCCUUAUAAAAUAUAAAAGUAAUGAAAACCCAUCAGUUUUUCUAAAACCAUGAAUGUCAUCUUUUACAGUAUUGUGUGUAAGCAGUUCCUGCCCCCAUAUACUGAGAUUGUCUUGUCAUGAUAGCUUGUUAUAUUUUUGUUUUACUUGUGCCUAUAAGACAAUCUACUGUCAGUAUGAUCAAGUCUUGGGACUGAGUAAAAGAAUCCAUGAACAUGUGAUUGGUGAAAAAUAAUUAACUGUAGUUCGUACCUGUUAGAUUAUAUUCAGAUUCAGAGAAAAAGAGAUUCUUUUCACUAAAGAUAAAGAGUACUCGGUUGCUAUUGCUUAUAUAUAAAUGGUGAUAGAUGGAGAUCUAACCAUCUCUUUUCUGCUUUCUUUUUGCUCAUUUUAAAGAGUUGAGUAAAGGUUUCAUGUAUAAACUGUGUCUGUGAAAAGCACUUGUAAUGUUUUAUAUGUCAUUAAAAGGCCCA
Molecule: long non-coding RNA, 970 nt
Filed under: Bos taurus (domestic cattle)
Lineage: Eukaryota; Metazoa; Chordata; Mammalia; Artiodactyla; Bovidae
Description: long non-coding RNA NONBTAT008036
Source: RNAcentral